RNAcentral lists this ribosomal RNA (439 nucleotides) under uncultured bacterium. RNAcentral's name for it is "partial 16S ribosomal RNA". It matches the Rfam family "Bacterial small subunit ribosomal RNA", at positions 338 to 795 of the family's 1533-position model. The record is from RNAcentral.
CCUACGGGUGGCAGCAGUGGGUAAUAUUGCACAAUGGGCGAAAGCCUGAUGCAGCAACGCCGCGUGAGCGAUGAAGGCCUUCGGGCCGUAAAGCCCUGUCCUCAAGGAAGAUAAUGACGGUACUUGAGGAGGAAGCCCCGGCUAACUACGUGCCAGCAGCCGCGGUAAUACGUAGGGGGCUAGCGUUAUCCGGAUUUACUGGGCGUAAAGGGUGCGCAGGUGGUUUCUUAAGUCAGAGGUGAAAGGCUACGGCUCAACCGGAGUAAGCCUUUGAAACUGGGUUACUUGAGUGCAGGAGGGGAGAGUGGAAUUCCUAGUGUAGCGGUGAAAUGCGUAGAUAUUAGGAGGAACACCAGUGGCGAAGGCGGCUCUCUGGACUGUAACUGACGCUGAGGCACGAAGGCGUGGGGAGCAAACAGGAUUAGAUACCCCUGUAGUC